UGCUAACUGAAAAGGAUACUGGGUGCGU
Molecule: non-coding RNA, 28 nt
Filed under: Homo sapiens (human)
Lineage: Eukaryota; Metazoa; Chordata; Mammalia; Primates; Hominidae
Source: RNAcentral